ACUCCUACGGGAGGCAGCAGUGGGGAAUAUUGCACAAUGGGCGCAAGCCUGAUGCAGCCAUGCCGCGUGUGUGAAGAAGGCCUUCGGGUUGUAAAGCACUUUCAGUCGUGAGGAAGGUGAGUGUAGUUAAUAGCUGCUAUUAUUUGACGUUAGCGAACAAGAAGAAGCGACCGCUAACUCCGUGCCAGCAGCCGCGGUAAUACGGAGGGUGCGAGCGUUAAUCGGAAUUACUGGGCGUAAAGCGCAUGCAGGUGGUUUGUUAAGUCAGAUGUGAAAGCCCGGGGCUCAACCUCGGAAUUGCA
Molecule: ribosomal RNA, 302 nt
Filed under: uncultured bacterium
Lineage: Bacteria
Description: bacterial SSU rRNA
Rfam family: Bacterial small subunit ribosomal RNA
Source: RNAcentral